AAACACGGUCCCUUGUGUUAAAAUUGCAUGUGUUGAACUACUGUACAGUAAACUGUUGAAUUGUUGAAGGUGUAAAGACAUUAGACAGUAUAGUAUAGUUGUGAUUUUGUUGUUAAAACACGUUUUAUUAUGUAUCGCUAUCAGGGGAGCUCCAGUAAGGAUCGACACUUAAGUUACGUCUCUAAAGUGGAUUUACAUAAACCACACAUCUUAAAGACGCUUAUUUUAAAUGUCUAUUUACAUCUGACAGGAAAAUCUUCAAUAAGUAUUGUAGAAGUGCACAUCACAACAUAUAAUAGACAUCUGAGUGAUGUAUGUGUGCUAUUAUGUAGAACAAAUCUAUAACUAAACAUACGUUAUCUAUUUUAUUUGUCCAUAGUACUGUUGAUAAAUUGAGGAACAUUUAUGUUGGAUAAAAAGUUUAAACAACCUCAACAUGUAAAUGUAGUGUUGAGCUCAUAAAUCACAGAGGUUAUGUGAAUCUUGUCAGGAUGUUACAGGGACAGAAGAACAUGUGUGUGUGUGUGUCAAGUGGAGAGUGGCUCAUGAUGCUGAUGAAUGCAGCCAUUAAAGGCUUUGACUUUUGUGGCGGAGUAGGACCUGCAAGGAAAGAUGAUGGCGGCAUUUGUGAAAAGCGUUUUUGUCUUCUAAAUAAUACUGAAAUCAAAUGACAUUGUGCUGUUAAAAUGACUGCUUUUGUGUUAUGUUUGUGCAUUUUUGUAGGAUCUGAAAUGUCAGCAGACUGGUGUGAGCACUGAGGAUGAAGAGCCCAGAGUUGAAUCCUGGAAAUGGUGCCAUGGAUGAGUCCCUCCAUCCCUCCACCUGCCCUUAUUUCCUCAGAUUGGGAAGCACAACACAUCACGCAACAACCUCCGGCACGAAGGAACGGCUCACCUCUGGCGGUCAGCUGAUUCAUCAGAAUAAAGCCGCUGAAUGGGAACCGCUGUGUUGAGAUGGCAGUAGGAUGGGGUUCAGCGCCUGUAGCCUACAUACAUGAUUGUAGUUUGAAUAAAGCUUUGUUUCAUGUGUUGACUUGAA
Rhinichthys klamathensis goyatoka is the source of this 1038-nucleotide long non-coding RNA. RefSeq lists it as uncharacterized. The record is from RefSeq and is a predicted model, not a curated record. The transcript is spliced from 2 exons. Lineage: Eukaryota; Metazoa; Chordata; Actinopteri; Cypriniformes; Leuciscidae.